GCGGGGGUCCUUGAGUUGUAGGGCUUUGCCUGCUAUCUCUUACCCAUGUCUUUUAAGUACCUUACGUUUCCUCGGCGGGUCCGCCCGCCGAUUGGACAAUUUAAACCAUUUGCAGUUGCAAUCAGCGUCUGAAAAAACUUAAUAGUUACAACUUUCAACAACGGAUCUCUUGGUUCUGGCAUCGAUGAAGAACGCAGCGAAAUGCGAUAAGUAGUGUGAAUUGCAGAAUUCAGUGAAUCAUCGAAUCUUUGAACGCACAUUGCGCCCCUUGGUAUUCCAUGGGGCAUGCCUGUUCGAGCGUCAUUUGUACCUUCAAGCUCUGCUUGGUGUUGGGUGUUUGUCUCGCCUCUGCGUGUAGACUCGCCUCAAAACAAUUGGCAGCCGGCGUAUUGAUUUCGGAGCGCAGUACAUCUCGCGCUUUGCACUCAUAACGACGACGUCCAAAAGUACAUUUUUACACUCUUGACCUCGGAUCAGGUAGGGAUACCCGCUGAACUUAAGCAUAUCAAAACC
Molecule: ribosomal RNA, 513 nt
Filed under: fungal sp.
Lineage: Eukaryota; Fungi
Description: eukaryotic LSU rRNA
Rfam family: 5.8S ribosomal RNA (bases 150-303)
Source: RNAcentral